RNAcentral lists this ribosomal RNA (491 nucleotides) under uncultured bacterium. RNAcentral's name for it is "bacterial SSU rRNA". It matches the Rfam family "Bacterial small subunit ribosomal RNA", at positions 29 to 507 of the family's 1533-position model. The record is from RNAcentral.
AUGAACGCUAGCGGCAGGCUUAACACAUGCAAGUCGAGGGGCAGCAUGAAGGUUAGCAAUAACUUUUUGAUGGCGACCGGCGCAAGGGUGCGUAACGCGUGAGCAACUUGCCCGUUUCUGGGGAAUAACCGGUGGAAACGCCGACUAAUACCCCAUAGUAUCAGAUUGAGGCAUCUUGAUCUGAUUAAAGAAUUUAUUGGUAAUGGAUGGGGAUGCGUGACAUUAGGUAGUAGGUGAGGUAACGGCUCACCUAGCCGACGAUGUCUAGGGGUUCUGAGAGGAAGGUCCCCCACACUGGUACUGAGAUACGGACCAGACUCCUACGGGAGGCAGCAGUGAGGAAUAUUGGUCAAUGGUCGGAAGACUGAACCGGCCAUGCCGCGUGCAGGAAGAAUGUCUUAUGGAUUGUAAACUGCUUUUGUAUGGGGCUAAUAAUAACUUUGCGAAGUUAGAUGCAGGUACCAUACGAAUAAGGAUCGGCUAACUCCGUG